Molecule: transfer RNA, 72 nt
Filed under: Candidatus Pacearchaeota archaeon
Lineage: Archaea; Nanobdellati
Description: tRNA-Arg
Rfam family: tRNA
About the family: Transfer RNA (tRNA) molecules are approximately 80 nucleotides in length. Their secondary structure includes four short double-helical elements and three loops (D, anti-codon, and T loops). Further hydrogen bonds mediate the characteristic L-shaped molecular structure. tRNAs have two regions of fundamental functional importance: the anti-codon, which is responsible for specific mRNA codon recognition, and the 3' end, to which the tRNAs corresponding amino acid is attached (by aminoacyl-tRNA synthetases). tRNAs cope with the degeneracy of the genetic code in two manners: having more than one tRNA (with a specific anti-codon) for a particular amino acid; and 'wobble' base-pairing, i.e. permitting non-standard base-pairing at the 3rd anti-codon position.
Source: RNAcentral
GGGCCCAUAGUUUAACGGACAGAAUGACAGGCUUCGGACCUGUAGGCGGAGGUUCAAUUCCUCCUGGGCUCG